AUUGAACGCUGGCGGCAGGCCUAACACAUGCAAGUCGAGCGAGCGGCGGACGGGUGAGUACUGUCUGGGAAACUGCCUGAUGGAGGGGGAUAACUACUGGAAACGGUAGAUAAUACCGCAUAACAUCAGCUGUGCCCAGAGGGGAUUAGCUAGUGGGGGGGGUAACGGCUCAACUAGGCGACGAUCCCUAGCUGGGCUGAGAGGAUGAUCAGCCACACUGGAACUGAGACACGGUCCAGACUCCUACGGGAGGCAGCAGUGGGGAAUAUUGCACAAUGGGCGCAAGCCUGAUGCAGCCAUGCCGCGUGUGUGAAGAAGGCCUUCGGGUUGUAAAGCACUGUCAGCGGGGAGGCGUUACCCGCAGAAGAAGCACCGGCUAACUCCGUGCCAGCCGCCGCGGUAAUAC
This 406-nucleotide ribosomal RNA is filed under the name uncultured bacterium. RNAcentral describes it as "partial 16S ribosomal RNA". It matches the Rfam family "Bacterial small subunit ribosomal RNA", at positions 29 to 526 of the family's 1533-position model. The record is from RNAcentral.